CUUAGACCUCUGAACUCCGGGGCACAGAGGCGACUUCCUCCUCGCAGACUUUAGGCGCCACUGCUGGGUCCGGAAAAGAAAGAGAAAGGACCCAGUGCGGUCGCUUACAGAACCCAGGGCGGGGUUGGGCUGGGCGCCCGCGCGCGUUUUCAAGCCUGCGGCCCGGAGUUCACUGCGAGGACUGAGAUCACCCGUCACCCCGCCCUGGUCUACAAGUGUUUGCUGAUAUAGAAACGGAAUAACGGCGCUGUGGGCUGGGGAGGACGGAGUUGCCUUCAGGCUUCUGGUCUCCAGCCGCGGGGCACUCACAGCUGCCGCUGUGAAAAUGCAGACCUGUGGGGCAGGAAUUCCGAGUCCGGGGUGGAGCGCGAUGUGGAAUCUGACUCGCUUGAAACAGCACCGCGGUGGAUUCGGAUCCGGAGGACUUCUCAUGAAGUACAGACUCCUCCACCUCCAGGAAAAAGAGACAAAGUCCACUGAGAAGGACCUGAGGGAUGCCUGUGACCCCGCCCCUGAGAAAAGAAACAAAUUCCUUUCCACCCAAAAUAUGACAGCGCCUGUGGUCCAGGGCUGGAGCCCAUAGUGGAUGCCCAGCAGCCAACUUCCUGGAAUUGAGACCUCCCCAGCAGGCUUGGGGGUGAAAAGAGAAACUAGACUCCAAAAGGGACACCAGUGCUCUGUUGGGGAGAGAGGAGCACACCACUGCAUCCCACCCUGAAGAAUGGGAGUGAGAAGAGAGGACAGGUGAACCCACCAUGGCUCCAGUGAGAUGGGAGCGGGGAACGCCCAAGAAGGAGGACAGCCAUGGGGUGGCCCCAGCCAAAGCCACCAGACAUCAUUACAUGUCUGGGGCCCUCUCAGGCCGACAUGAGUUUUACUGCUCCACACACUCUUUUGUUAAGAGCUAGCUGUCAGUAGAUCAGUGAGAGAGCAACUUUGAUACAGAGGAAACCAUGCCUGAAAUGGGUCAUCCCAGAAGAAUUUAGUAGUAGGUUCUAUGCUUCCCUCCAGGGCCUCAUGGGCGUGGGCAACUUUUUUUUUUUUCCAGCCACUCACCCUAGGUAAUGAAGAAAGCUCUCUGAACUGUGUCCUUGCUAGGCACACAGGCCCCUACCACAUGUACAUGGCAUGGGAGUCAUGGCUAAGGCAGGGUGAGACUCCUAUUUGAGGCCAGGAAAAGCUAAUGACCCUACAUUUGGUUCAGUCCUUGUGGGGUCCUGACUAGGGUGUGGGCCACUGUGUUCCCACAGAUGCUCUGUUAGCCCUUAGGCUGUGAGAUACACAGGCAAAUGUUAUAUUGAAGCCUUUGUUUCUCUUACACGGAGGCAACACUACUGCAGCAGAGCAAACCUUAUUGUAUCAGUGCACCAACCCCAAGUUCAUGUUCAUUACAGCAGGAAAAACUAACAUGUGGUGAAUUCUGCCUCCACAAGGGACAAGGACCUGAUAAGACUACAAUGACCAGGAUGGCCAAUAUCCCUGUCUUCUUGCAACUCAAACUUUGCCUGGUUACCACCUACUUGCCCCAACUCCUUGGACUCCAGCCCUCCGAGGACAGCCAGACAUCUGAAGGAAGUGCCAGGCACAGAUGCCAGGUUGCAUAAGUGCUGGCCCCUGAGCAACUGGAGAAGCUGUUAGGUCCCAGCUGGCCUAGAGAUCCCUGGCUCAGGGAGUAUAACUGGAUGCCUUGAACAAAGACAUGGGGUCACUGGAAAGAGAGGACCGGCUGUCCCUCCCCACUAAGAAAUAAUUAACUGUUAGAUGAGGGGGAAUUCCUUUUCAAGGGCUCUGUGGACUGUGCUGCUCUGGAGGGGGUAGGGAGAGGGAGGAGCCCUGAGGUCUGGGCUGGGGUGUGGUUGGGAAGGAGCUGAGAGCUGAGAGCUGUAACUACACAAGGAGCUGCAGGGGUGAGGUUGGUGCAGGGUGGGAUUUAGAGGAUUUCCCCCAGACUCCUGUGCUGAUCCCCUUCAUCUCCUCCACCCCCACCCUUGGUGUCUGUCAACAUGCGGGGGUGCCCUCAUCUUCCCACUGCCCCUGGAGCUGUUCUACUCUUCCACGCUUGCCUUGGGGUUUUCAGAGCAGCAUCUUUGUGAGUCCUGGAGUGCUAGGGACCAGGAGGGGAGAGGAGGCAAUAGCCUCCUUUAAUUUGGCAACAGCUUUUCGUUAUCAUCUCCACUUUCCAAGGCAGGAAAAGUGAAGGCAACAGCUCUGAGAGAUCCUGGAAGAGGAAAAACCAUGGCGGGUGAGGCAGGGAGCUGUCUGAGUUUCCUAGCAGACAUCAGGAGCCCGCCCUUCCAGGCCUGGGCUUUGCUUCAGUGCCUGGCCCUGCAUAGGCCCCUGCCCCUGUCCCGUUCUGCUGCCCCCACCUCCCUCUCAGCCUGGCCCCAGACAGAAUCCAGACCAACUCCUGUCUGCUGUGAAAAAUGUUCCUGCCAGUUUAGGCAGAUCUUGCUUUAGAGCACUGGUGCCCAGCCUUCCACAGGUCUUGUGUCUGUUUUUCUUGGCACUAUGUUUCUUCUCAUGUAUUCUUCUGAAUUGGCAAGGCAGGAAUUACAUCACUGGUUUGCAGAUGAGGAAACUGACUCAUAUGGUUUCAUUCAGCACUCAUUCACUGUGAAAGUGUCUGUCAGGGCCAAUUGUGGGCCAGAUGUGCCCAGGGUUCUAUAGCUAGCUGGUGGAAAGGCCUGAAGGGUUCAUAUUCAGGUCCACUUGACUUGAAAACUCAUAUUGACCUUACUUAUGUACUAAUUCCCACCUUACAAUCCAUGCCACAAACUUUAUUGUCUUAAGAAGUUGCCACAGCAGCCUUCAGCAGCCACCUUGUCAUCAGUCAGCAGUCAUCAACAUUGAGGCAAGACCCUACUCCAGCAAAAACAUUAGUAUUAGCUGAAGCCUCAGAUGACU
Long non-coding RNA from Homo sapiens (human), 2904 nucleotides. RefSeq lists it as uncharacterized. The transcript has 3 exons. The record is from RefSeq and is a predicted model, not a curated record. Lineage: Eukaryota; Metazoa; Chordata; Mammalia; Primates; Hominidae.